UGGGGAAUUUUGGACAAUGGGCGCAAGCCUGAUCCAGCCAUGCCGCGUGAGUGAAGAAGGCCUGGGUUGUAAGCUCUUUCGGCCGGGAAGAAAUCGUGGUCUCUAACAUAGGCCAUGGAUGACGGUACCGGACUAAGAAGCACCGGCUAACUACGUGCC
Molecule: ribosomal RNA, 159 nt
Filed under: uncultured bacterium
Lineage: Bacteria
Description: partial 16S ribosomal RNA
Rfam family: Bacterial small subunit ribosomal RNA
Source: RNAcentral